AAGGAAUAUUGGACAAUGGGGGCAACCCUGAUCCAGCCAUGCCGCGUGAAGGAAGAAGGACCUAUGGUUUGUAAACUUCUUUUGUAGCAGAGAAAACCCUCCCAUGCGUGGGAGGUUGAUAGUAUGCUAAGAAUAAGCAUCGGCUAACUUCGUGCCAGCAGCCGCGGUAAUACGAAGGAUGCGAGCGUUAUCCGGAUUUAUUGGGUUUAAAGGGUGCGUAGGCGGCCUUAUAAGUAAGUGGUGAAAUCCUAUCGCUUAACGAUAGACGUGCCAUUGAUACUGUAGGGCUUGAGUACAGAUGCCGUUGGCGGAAUGUGUCAUGUAGCGGAGAAAUGCAUAGAUAUGACACAGAACACCGAUUGCGAAGGCAGCUGACGAAACUGUAACUGACGCUGAUGCACGAAAGCGUGGGGAUCAAA
RNAcentral lists this ribosomal RNA (419 nucleotides) under uncultured bacterium. Its description in RNAcentral is "bacterial SSU rRNA". It matches the Rfam family "Bacterial small subunit ribosomal RNA", at positions 356 to 772 of the family's 1533-position model. The record is from RNAcentral.